CUUGAACUUUAUAAGAGGUCCAGCCUGCCCAGUGACUCUGUUCAACGGCCGCGGUAUCCUAACCGUGCGAAGGUAGCGUAAUCACUUGUUCUUUAAAUGUGGACUAGUAUGAAUGGCACUACGAGGGUUAUACUGUCUCCUUUUUCUAAUCAGUGAAACUAAUUUUCCCGUGAAGAAGCGGGAAUACAACCAUAAGACGAGAAGACCCUAUGGAGCUUUAAACAACCUAGCAAUUACUUCUAAAAUUAUAAAUUUCAGAAUACUCAUUUUUUAAGCAAUAUGUCUGCAAGUUUUUGGUUGGGGUGACCAUGGAGAAUAACACAACCUCCAUAUUGAAUGAAUUUUUAUUCUAAGCUAAGAAUUACUAAUUAAAGCAUCAACACACUGACAUUUAUUGACCCA
Molecule: ribosomal RNA, 402 nt
Filed under: Rhinella castaneotica (Para toad)
Lineage: Eukaryota; Metazoa; Chordata; Amphibia; Anura; Bufonidae
Description: partial 16S ribosomal RNA
Rfam family: Bacterial large subunit ribosomal RNA
Source: RNAcentral